GCCAGGUGUGGUGGCGCAUGCCUGUAGUCCCAGCUACUCAGGAGGCUGAGGCAGGAGGAUCGCUUGAGGCCAGGAGUUCUGGGCUGCAGUGCACUAUGUUGCCUGGGCGUCUGCACUAAGUUCAGCAUCAAUAUGAUGACCUCCCGGGAGCAGGGAACCACCAGAUUGCCUAAGAAGGGGUAAACUGGCCAAGGUUGGAAACAGAGCAGGUCAAAACUCCCAUGCUGAUCAGUAGUGGGAUGGUGCCUGUGAAUAGCCACUGUACUCCAGCCUGGGCAACACAGCAAGACCCCAUCCCUA
RNAcentral lists this signal recognition particle RNA (300 nucleotides) under Gorilla gorilla gorilla (western lowland gorilla). RNAcentral describes it as "Metazoan signal recognition particle RNA". It matches the Rfam family "Metazoan signal recognition particle RNA". From Rfam's summary of the family: The signal recognition particle (SRP) is a universally conserved ribonucleoprotein. It is involved in the co-translational targeting of proteins to membranes. Lineage: Eukaryota; Metazoa; Chordata; Mammalia; Primates; Hominidae. The record is from Rfam by way of RNAcentral.